AACGCUGGCGGCGUGCCUAACACAUGCAAGUCGAGCGAGGAGAUUCCUCGGGAUGAUCCUAGCGGCGGACGGGUGAGUAACACGUGGCAACCUGCCUCAUAGAGAGGAAUAGCCUUCCGAAAGGGAGAUUAAUACCUCAUAACAUUGCAGUUUCGCAUGGAACAGCAAUUAAAGGAGUAAUCCGCUAUGAGAUGGGCCCGCGGCGCAUUAGCUAGUUGGUGAGGUAACGGCUCACCAAGGCGACGAUGCGUAGCCGACCUGAGAGGGUGAUCGGCCACAUUGGGACUGAGACACGGCCCAGACUCCUACGGGAGGCAGCAGUGGGGAAUAUUGCACAAUGGGGGAAACCCUGAUGCCAGCAACGCCGCGUGAGUGAUGACGGCCUUCGGGUUGUAAAGCUCUGUCUUCAGGGACGAUAAUGACGGUACCUGAGGAGGAAGCCACGGCUAACUACGUGCCAGCCGCGGC
This 468-nucleotide ribosomal RNA is filed under the name uncultured bacterium. RNAcentral describes it as "bacterial SSU rRNA". It matches the Rfam family "Bacterial small subunit ribosomal RNA", at positions 32 to 518 of the family's 1533-position model. The record is from RNAcentral.